Molecule: small nucleolar RNA, 83 nt
Organism: Trypanosoma brucei brucei TREU927
Lineage: Eukaryota; Euglenozoa; Kinetoplastea; Trypanosomatida; Trypanosomatidae
Source: RefSeq, a predicted model, not a curated record
GUGUGUGAUGUAUAUACGACUAUGAACAACUCGUCAGAGUGCUAUCUUUGAUGAUCACAUACAUUUUGCUUCCUCACUGACAA